CAGCAGCCGCGGGAAUACGUAGGGUGCAAGCGUUAAUCGGAAUUACUGGGCGUAAAGCGUGCGCAGGCGGUUUGUUAAGACAGAUGUGAAAUCCCCGGGCUCAACCUGGGAACUGCAUUUGUGACUGGCAGGCUAGAGUAUGGCAGAGGGGGGUGGAAUUCCGCGUGUAGCAGUGAAGUGCGUAGAUAUGCGGAGGAACACCGAUGGCGAAGGCAGCCCCCUGGGCCAAUACUGACGCUCAUGCACGAAAGCGUGGGGAGCAAACAGGAUUAGAUACCCGGGUAGUCCCUGUCUCUUAUAC
RNAcentral lists this ribosomal RNA (301 nucleotides) under uncultured bacterium. RNAcentral describes it as "partial 16S ribosomal RNA". It matches the Rfam family "Bacterial small subunit ribosomal RNA", at positions 509 to 807 of the family's 1533-position model. The record is from RNAcentral.